AUUGAACGCUGGCGGCAUGCCUUACACAUGCAAGUCGAACGGCAGCACGGGAGCAAUCCUGGUGGCGAGUGGCGAACGGGUGAGUAAUAUAUCGGAACGUGCCCAGUCGUGGGGGAUAACGUAGCGAAAGCUACGCUACUACCGCAUACGAUCUAUGGAUGAAAGCGGGGGAUCGCAAGACCUCGCGCGAUUGGAGCGGCCGAUAUCAGAUUAGGUAGUUGGUGGGGUAAAGGCUCACCAAGCCGACGAUCUGUAGCUGGUCUGAGAGGACGACCAGCCACACUGGGACUGAGACACGGCCCAGACUCCUACGGGAGGCAGCAGUGGGGAAUUUUGGACAAUGGGCGCAAGCCUGAUCCAGCAAUGCCGCGUGCAGGAUGAAGGCCUUCGGGUUGUAAACUGCUUUUGUACGGAGCGAAAAGGCUCUCUCUAAUACAGGGGGCUCAUGACGGUACCGUAAGAAUAAGCACCGGCUAACUACGUGCCAGCAGCCGCGGUAA
This 500-nucleotide ribosomal RNA is filed under the name uncultured bacterium. Its description in RNAcentral is "partial 16S ribosomal RNA". It matches the Rfam family "Bacterial small subunit ribosomal RNA", at positions 30 to 523 of the family's 1533-position model. The record is from RNAcentral.